GUUUAUGGCCGUACCACCCUGAAUGUGGCUGAUCUUGUCUGAUCUCGGAAACUAAGCAGGCUUGGUCCUGGUUUAUACUUGGAUGGGAGACUGCCUGGCAAUACUGAGUGCUGUAGACU
RNAcentral lists this ribosomal RNA (119 nucleotides) under Microcebus murinus (gray mouse lemur). The record is from RNAcentral. Lineage: Eukaryota; Metazoa; Chordata; Mammalia; Primates; Cheirogaleidae.